CCAUAGGGCAAGAGCUUCAUGUUCAGGACACGUGGUUUCCUCUCUCUGCUGAUUAGCCAGCAGUGAGCCAGUGCUGGCUCCUGUGUUGCCCUCUGCAUAGGCCAUCACAGGAGAUGGAACCCAGCGCCUUUUACACAGUAGGUUCGCUUUCUAUGAUGGACCUUUCUAUGAUGGACCGUAAGUAUUCGCCUGCCAAUUAAACAAUCAAUAGUUAUCCUGUAAGUGGUGAGUGAACCCAUAAAAUCUGUGACCUGGAAAGUCAACCAUUACAUGAGUGGAAGUGUUAAAUGGUCUGGAAAUGAUUGGAGCCAUCAAAUGCACGCACAUGCUCAGGUCUCUGACUACAAGAUACAUAAAUAUAUAAGAAUUAGGAAUGGCUUCAAUAAAGAAACAUGAAGAUUCAAUUUAGAAGAUAAAGGAACAUGAAGACUUAAUUAAAAAUAAAGGAACACAAAGAUUUAAUUAAAAAAAUAAA
RNAcentral lists this long non-coding RNA (475 nucleotides) under Mus spicilegus (steppe mouse). RNAcentral's name for it is "lncRNA (ENSMSIG00000025587.1)". Lineage: Eukaryota; Metazoa; Chordata; Mammalia; Rodentia; Muridae. The record is from RNAcentral.